Molecule: transfer RNA, 72 nt
Filed under: Ovis aries (sheep)
Lineage: Eukaryota; Metazoa; Chordata; Mammalia; Artiodactyla; Bovidae
Rfam family: tRNA
About the family: Transfer RNA (tRNA) molecules are approximately 80 nucleotides in length. Their secondary structure includes four short double-helical elements and three loops (D, anti-codon, and T loops).
Source: Rfam by way of RNAcentral
UCCCAUGUGGCUCAGCUGGUAAAGAAUCUGCCUGCAAUGCAGGAGGCCUGGGUUCUAUCCCAGGUUUGGGAA